GAGUUGAGUUGAGUUGAGUUUUAUCCUACUUUUAAAAAUAAUAUGGAGAAAAUGGACAAAACACUGUUUUUAUUCUUUUGAUGGGUCACUUGCCCCUCCUUACACCCCAAAUUGGGAUGUAAAAAAUUAGGAGCUUUGGGGCCUAAGGGUGGAGGUCUUACCCUUCCUUACCCUUCAACCUCAAAUUAAAACUCUCUUCCAAACAAGAGUAGGGGGAUACAAUCUCCCACUUACCCUUAACUCUCCCACUUACCCUUAACUCUCCCUCCUUACCCACAAUCGAAACAAGUGUUAGAAAUGGCAAAAGCCACUUGCGACAAGUGCCAAAUUUCAAGGGAUAGCAUAAUUGAGACAAACAACCCUUCACACCAGCUCCAUAAAGAUGUUACACAAACUCUUACCUUAAUUCAAUCCAUAUGCCUGGCUGAACUCCUAAUUCUAUAAAACAAUUUGUAAAGACUGCAUGAGCUUCUCACCAAAGGAAUAGCCCAAUAAUUAACAUUUGGGAAUUCCAACCUGGACUCCGACCACUGAAAU
Molecule: unclassified non-coding RNA, 537 nt
Filed under: Hevea brasiliensis (rubber tree)
Lineage: Eukaryota; Viridiplantae; Streptophyta; Magnoliopsida; Malpighiales; Euphorbiaceae
Source: RNAcentral